Long non-coding RNA from Anthonomus grandis grandis, 286 nucleotides. RefSeq lists it as uncharacterized. NCBI's taxonomy places the organism in Eukaryota, Metazoa, Arthropoda, Insecta, Coleoptera, Curculionidae. The transcript is spliced from 3 exons. The record is from RefSeq and is a predicted model, not a curated record.
UCGGAUCCGGUAACGAAAUUUGUGCUAGCAAUAAUUUAGCAUAUUAUAUGUAUGCACGUACGGCUUUUAGCAGUCGCUCUCAAACAGAUGUGUGUUUAAAAUAAAACCAAAUUACGUGGGUUUUUGAAAGUAUGAUUGUCAGUUUGGAUUACUUCUGUCCAGAUUUCCAAAUUCUUUAAACAUCUAUUUAUAAUCUUUCGACGAGGUGCUUGUAUGAUAAGGAUCACUCUUCCUUACAGGUUCGUUGGUUCAACUUAUUUAAGGGAACUUUUAAGUUAAAAAAUCC